UACGAGGGGUGCAAGCGUUGCUCGGAAUUAUUGGGCGUAAAGGGCAAGUAGGUGGUCUCAUUUGUCUGGGGUGAAAGCCUUGAGCUUAACUCAAGAAGUGCCCCAGAAACGGUGAGACUCGAGUCCUGGAGAGGGUCGUGGAAUUCCCGGUGUAGCGGUGAAAUGCGCAGAUAUCGGGAGGAACACCGGUGGCGAAGGCGGUUCUCUGGGCCUUACCUGACGCUGAGGAGCGAAAGCGUGGGGAGCGAACAGG
This 253-nucleotide ribosomal RNA is filed under the name uncultured bacterium. RNAcentral's name for it is "partial 16S ribosomal RNA". It matches the Rfam family "Bacterial small subunit ribosomal RNA", at positions 524 to 776 of the family's 1533-position model. The record is from RNAcentral.